CGGCCUCCCAAAGUGCUGGGAUUACAAGUGUGAGCCACCGCGCCCGGCCUGAAGUUUCAUCUCAUACAUUCAUCCCUUCUCCAAGUCAAGGUGCCUGGGACCAGGCAAUUUCAAGUUACUCGGGAGAAGAAAAAGUCUAGAAGAGACCUGGUGAUGGUCCAAAAAGAUCUGGGGAGCACAUGGGACAGCAGCAAAAGGAGCAGCAGAAGAGCAGGCUGCCAGAGGAUGUCUUCUGCAGAGGAGCCUGUGCAC
This 252-nucleotide long non-coding RNA is filed under the name Homo sapiens (human). RNAcentral's name for it is "HSALNT0054318". Lineage: Eukaryota; Metazoa; Chordata; Mammalia; Primates; Hominidae. The record is from RNAcentral.